UUAUUAUUUACAUUAAUAAUUAGGUUUUGUGCAAUUCGACCUAGCUUGAAUUUAACGAGUUGAUUACUUUAAUAUAUAUAUUUAUGUUGAAUUUAUUAGAAAUAACUUUUUUAUUAGUAGUGUUUAUUGAAAUUUUUAUGUGUGUGAUAGUUUAUAGUACUGUAAAGGAAUUAUAAAUUUUAAUUUUAAGCAAAUUUUAUUUAUUGUACCUUUUGUAUCAGGGUUUAUUAAUAUAAAGAUUAAUUAUUUAAUUUUCCCGAAAUUAGAAGAGAUAUAUUUUUAUGAUAGUUUCUGUUUUAAAAUAAUUAUUAAUUUAAAUAUAGGGGUUAUAUGCUAUUCAUUUUUAAAUAUCUGGUUAUCUAAUAAAUUAAUUUAAUUAAAAUAAUUAAAUGUUGAUUUAUUUAUAUUAUUUUGUAAUUUUAAUCAAUAAAGGAUAAGCUUUUUUGAUUUUUUAUAAUUUUAUUAAAAUUUAAUUUUUGUAGGAUUAGUAACUUUCAUCAUUAAUUUCGUUAUAGUUUAGUUUAAUUUUAUUUUUAUUUAUUAUUAAUAUUUAAUUUUUUAUUAAAAUGUUUUAUUUAAUCUUUUUUUAUUUAUAAUAAUGAUAAAAUUAGUAUUUUUUUAUAUAAAAUAUAGUAAUUCGGCAAUUUUAAUUUUCACCUGUUUAUCAAAAACAUGUCUUUUUGUUUUUAUAUAAAGUCUAGUCUGCUCUAUGAUUAAUUUUAAAUGGCCGCAGUAUUUUAACUGUGCAAAGGUAGCAUGAUCAUUUGCUUCUUAAUUAGGGGCUUGUAUGAAUGGCUGGAUGAGAAACUAACUUUCUUUAUUUUAUUUUAAAUAAUUUUAUUUUUUAGUUAAAAAGCUAAAAUAUUUUUAUUAGACGAGAAGACC
Molecule: ribosomal RNA, 885 nt
Filed under: Tetraphleps aterrimus
Lineage: Eukaryota; Metazoa; Arthropoda; Insecta; Hemiptera; Anthocoridae
Description: partial 16S ribosomal RNA
Source: RNAcentral